This 933-nucleotide long non-coding RNA is filed under the name Dromaius novaehollandiae (emu). Its description in RNAcentral is "lncRNA (ENSDNVG00000014888.1)". The record is from RNAcentral. Lineage: Eukaryota; Metazoa; Chordata; Aves; Casuariiformes; Dromaiidae.
CUGUGCUGAGGUACUUUCCCUGCAGCGAGGUCAAAGUCUGGUUUAACUGGCCCAGGAGUUAUGGAUGCCCUCCACCUUUUCCAAGGAAAACUGGAAUUACUUUCUCACCCCUUGCCUUUUCUCCGUGCUGCAUGGCAGGUCCAGAACGGGCUGGUGCUGUACGCAACRUGGACCAUCAUUGCCACUCUGCUGAAUUUAGCCGUUGUGUUGAUCUACAAGUGGAACGUGUCCAACGAGACAGCAACUACUGCCUCGCUGUGCAUCCUUGCUCUCGACCUAGUAAUAUGGUUUUAUGUAGAAAACUUGUUUCUUGACAAGUACGUCCGUUACAACCUCACAGUCUACCCAGUGGUCAUGCUAGCUCUGACUGGCAGCGCGUGCAAGAACUUCUCGCUUUCCUCCCCAACGACCAACGGCAUUUUUAUAGUUGUGCUACUGGCAGUGACUUGCGUUGUCUUUGCUGUUCGGCUGGGACUCGUCGUAUGGAGACACCGUAAGCAACGACUAGAACCACCAGAAACCCCAGAUCCAUCAGGCGUAGUGGCCUGAGACCUCCGGCGUGGUGACAUCGUGGCAGGUGUUUUGGGGAAAUCCGGGCAUCCUGCAUCCACCRGUCCUUUCUUCCAGUACUAGUUUCCUUAUAUUUUUUUUAACUAUUUCUUUUUUUGUAUGCCAAAGUAGGAUGGUUUGUCUGCAAAUCCAUUCUGAUCUCRUGUUCUGUCCUCCCCAAUCAGUCCCCGCUCUCAAUCUGCACCUUCCCCAGUUCGGUUUGACUGACUGCAGUAGUGGCAGGAAAGGUCCUUCAGGUGAACAGCCCCAYGCACUUUUUUGAUGACCCAACUGUGGCUUUCUGCUCUUUCCAGUGCUGUUAGCAGACACUGGACAGGUUUGCACACAGCUGUUCAUGUUCCCUCCUUGAGCCCGCAUUUCUUG